RNAcentral lists this ribosomal RNA (466 nucleotides) under uncultured delta proteobacterium. RNAcentral describes it as "bacterial SSU rRNA". It matches the Rfam family "Bacterial small subunit ribosomal RNA", at positions 400 to 858 of the family's 1533-position model. Lineage: Bacteria; Deltaproteobacteria. The record is from RNAcentral.
CGUGAAGGAUGAAGGCCUUCGGGUCGUAAACUUCUGUCGAGAGGGAAGAAUUGCGUACGGUCAAUAUCCGUGCGUUUGACGGUACCUCCAAAGGAAGCACCGGCUAACUCCGUGCCAGCAGCCGCGGUAAUACGGAGGGUGCAAGCGUUGUUCGGAUUUAUUGGGCGUAAAGCGAGUGUAGGCGGUUUGAAAAGUCGGGUGUGAAAGCCCAGGGCCCAACCCUGGAAUUGCAUCCGAUACUGUCAGGCUAGAGUCCCGGAGAGGAUGGCGGAAUUCCCGGUGUAGGGGUGAAAUCCGUAGAUAUCGGGAGGAACACCAGUGGCGAAGGCGGCCAUCUGGACGGUGACUGACGCUCAGACUCGAAAGCGUGGGUAGCAAACAGGAUUAGAUACCCUGGUAGUCCACGCCGUAAACGGUGAGAGCUCGUCGUAGUGGGUAUUGACCCCUGCUGUGACCAAGUUAACGC